UAAAAGCAUAGAGGUAGCGAUGUAAAAGAGUAUGAUUUGGAGCCGGCAGGCAAUGAAAAAUCAGAAAGGUAGCCAUCGCCGAAUGAACGUCUGGGCACAGAUGAACUCAUGGGGUUAUAGGGAACACUUAUAACACUCCUACGAAAGUAGAGGCGCUAGCAAAAA
RNAcentral lists this non-coding RNA (165 nucleotides) under Mycoplasmatota bacterium. RNAcentral describes it as "Tenericutes bacterium Lysine sequence". It matches the Rfam family "Lysine riboswitch aptamer". Rfam says of the family: Riboswitches are metabolite binding domains within certain messenger RNAs that serve as precision sensors for their corresponding targets. Allosteric rearrangement of mRNA structure is mediated by ligand binding, and this results in modulation of gene expression. The record is from RNAcentral. Lineage: Bacteria; Bacillati; Mycoplasmatota.